CAGUCGCCGCGGUAAUACGUAGGUGGCAAGCGCCGUCCGGAAUUAUUGGGCGUAAAGCGCGCGCAGGUGGUUUAAUAAGUCUGAUGUGAAAGCCCACGGCUCAACCGUGGAGGGUCAUUGGAAACUGUUAAACUUGAGUGCAGGAGAGAAAAGUGGAAUUCCUAGUGUAGCGGUGAAAUGCGUAGAGAUUAGGAGGAACACCAGUGGCGAAGGCGGCUUUUUGGCCUGUAACUGACACUGAGGCGCGAAAGCGUGGGGAGCAAACAGGAUUAGAUACCCCCGUAGUCCCUGUCUCUUAUAC
This 301-nucleotide ribosomal RNA is filed under the name uncultured bacterium. Its description in RNAcentral is "partial 16S ribosomal RNA". It matches the Rfam family "Bacterial small subunit ribosomal RNA", at positions 509 to 807 of the family's 1533-position model. The record is from RNAcentral.